GUAUAAAAUUAAAAUAAGUUCUAAUUAGAGUAGAAAACAUUAAAAAAACUAAAUUUGGAGUUUUAUCUUGCUUAAAUGGGAAGUUUAUCUAAAAUAGAAUUGCUAGGAGGGAUUUUUGGACUGGAAAACAUAAAAUUCUCAUAGCUGGACAGAGGGUCACACGGCCUUCAGCUUGUGGAUCUUCUUUUCACACACUUUAGAGUGUGUGACUAGCAAACUGGUGCACCUGCUUGUGACACACCUCCAAGUGUGUGGUGGGCUGAGGGAACACACCCUUGGGCGUGUUAUACUUUGUUUUCUAAGGAAUUUCCUGCACUUUUAUCCCUCUUUUCUUCCUUUCAUGCUUUCCUUGUUUCUUAAGACCAAUUCCCGCAUCAUACUUCCCCACUUGGAAAAAACUCGUC
RNAcentral lists this unclassified non-coding RNA (404 nucleotides) under Hevea brasiliensis (rubber tree). The record is from RNAcentral. Lineage: Eukaryota; Viridiplantae; Streptophyta; Magnoliopsida; Malpighiales; Euphorbiaceae.